Molecule: non-coding RNA, 216 nt
Organism: Penaeus vannamei (Pacific white shrimp)
Lineage: Eukaryota; Metazoa; Arthropoda; Malacostraca; Decapoda; Penaeidae
Source: RefSeq, a predicted model, not a curated record
CCGCCGGCGACAACACCUCCGAAGAGGCUAAACCCGAGUGCAGUUACUUCGUGCUGAACUCGUCCUCGGGCCAGGUCGAGGAGGAGCCGUGCGUCGAGUGGGACUUCGACAACUCCACCUUCAGCUCCACCGUUGGCACUGAGUUCCAGCUUGCCUGCGGUUGGGAGUACCUUCGCUCGACGUACCAAAGCAUCUACAUGUUCGGCGUCACGAUCG